This 931-nucleotide long non-coding RNA is filed under the name Ananas comosus (pineapple). RNAcentral describes it as "long non-coding RNA (ACOM_LNC041087)". The record is from RNAcentral. Lineage: Eukaryota; Viridiplantae; Streptophyta; Magnoliopsida; Poales; Bromeliaceae.
GUGACUUAAUGUGUAAUAAAGAUAAUUUUGUCACUUCGAAAUGAGAGGAGAAAUAUUUACUUGCAUCUGUUGCGUAGUAAUAUUUAUACACCGUAUAAAAUAUUAUAUGAUUGAUAGAGUAGUUGAUAAUUAAUAUAUACCUUUGUUAGUUAAUUUGUAAAUUAUUCACGAAUUAUUUGCGAAUGUUUGAAAAUCCGAAUUAAACGGUCCGUUUACGAAUUUUUCAAAAAAAAAAUGAAUUAUUCGCGAAUUUUUUGGCCAACUGAAUAAUUUGCGAAUUAUUCGCGAAUUAUUCUCGAAUAUUGAAAAUCUGAAUAAAAACUUAUAAUUUUUAUAUUUAAAUAUAGAUUAUCUUAUAUUUUAUAUCUUAUAUUUUAUAUUUUAUACCGAAUUUAUUUUUUAAGUCGAAUUUUUCGACGAAUUUAAAAAUUAGAAAAUGAAUUUUAUGCGUAUUAUACCCGUACCGAAUUUUUGCUGAAUUCGAAUCUAACUAUGAUAUAUACUGUAAAAUAAAGUAUGAUAUAAUAUAAAAUAUUUAAAUAAUUUAUUAUAUGACUUAAAUUUUAUCUUUAAUAUAUAUUUUUGAGUCAAUUUAUGGUGAAGUGACACAUUCAAAAUUUUCAAGAUUUGGCAAUUUUUCAUUUGUUAAGAACUUAAUGCCAAAAUGAUAGUUUGUUCUGGUGAUAAGAGGAGAAAUAUUUGCGUGCAUCCAGUGCAUACUAAUAUUUCAGACACCAUAUAAAAUAUUAUAUAAUUGACGAAAUAUUUGAUGAUUAAUUCUGUAAAAUAAAAUAUGAUAUAAUAUAUAAUAUUUAAAUAAUUUAUUAUACGACUGUAAUUUUAUUUUUAAUGUAUAUUUUAGAGUCGGUUUAUGGUGAAACAGUUGUGCCCAAAUUUUUAAUGGAUAUGUGGUAAUUUUUUAUUGGUUUAG